AAUCAAAAAGUGUCAAAAAUAGCUUGGGCAAUUGUGUCUGCUGCUUGGUUAGUUGCUGCAAUAUGCUUCUUCAUAACUCUGUUCACACACCAUUGGCUCUGGCUUCUCUAUGUAUUCAAUAUCAUUCAAGUUUGUAUGACAUGCGUAAAAUAUAUUCCCCAG
Molecule: long non-coding RNA, 162 nt
Organism: Neltuma alba
Lineage: Eukaryota; Viridiplantae; Streptophyta; Magnoliopsida; Fabales; Fabaceae
Exons: 2
Source: RefSeq, a predicted model, not a curated record